RNAcentral lists this ribosomal RNA (1848 nucleotides) under Oncorhynchus tshawytscha (Chinook salmon). Its description in RNAcentral is "bacterial LSU rRNA". It matches the Rfam family "Bacterial large subunit ribosomal RNA", at positions 991 to 2826 of the family's 2925-position model. Lineage: Eukaryota; Metazoa; Chordata; Actinopteri; Salmoniformes; Salmonidae. The record is from RNAcentral.
GCGGGUGCUAACGUCCGUCGUGAAGAGGGAAACAACCCAGACCGCCGGCUAAGGUCCCAAAGUUCUGGUUAAGUGGGAAACGAUGUGGGAAGGCUCAGACAGCUAGGAUGUUGGCUUAGAAGCAGCCAUCAUUUAAAGAAAGCGUAAUAGCUCACUAGUCGAGUCGGCCUGCGCGGAAGAUGUAACGGGGCUCAAACCAGGCACCGAAGCCGCGGAUUCACACUUAUGUGUGAGUGGUAGGGGAGCGUUCUGUAAGUCUGCGAAGGUGUAUCGAGAGGUAUGCUGGAGAUAUCAGAAGUGCGAAUGCUGACGUAAGUAACGAUAAAGGGGGUGAAAAGCCUCCUCGCCGGAAGACCAAGGGUUCCUGUCCAACGUUAAUCGGGGCAGGGUGAGUCGACCCCUAAGGUGAGGCCGAAAGGCGUAAUCGAUGGGAAGCAGGUUAAUAUUCCUGCACGACUUGUAAUUGCGAUGGGGGGACGGAGAAGGCUAGGUGGGCCAGGCGACGGUUGUCCUGGUGAAAGUGCGUAGGUGGUGUUUCUAGGCAAAUCCGGAGACACAACACUGAGACACGAGACGAAGCCACUACGGUGGUGAAGCCAUUGAUGCCCUGCUUCCAGGAAAAGCCUCUAAGCUUCAGAUUACAAGUCAUCGUACCCCAAACCGACACAGGUGGUCGGGUAGAGAAUACCAAGGCGCUUGAGAGAACUCGGGUGAAGGAACUAGGCAAAAUAGAACCGUAACUUCGGGAGAAGGUUCGCUCUUGACAGUGAAGUCCCUCGCGGAUGGAGCAGUUGGGAGUCGCAGUGACCAGAUGGCUGGGACUGUUUAUCAAAAACACAGCACUCUGCAAACACGAAAGUGGACGUAUAGGGUGUGACACCUGCCCGGUGCCGGAAGGUUAAUUGAUGGGGUUAGCGCAAGCGAAGCUCUUGAUCGAAGCCCCGGUAAACGGCGGCCGUAACAAUAACGGUCCUAAGGUAGCGAAAUUCCUUGUCGGGUAAGUUCCGACCUGCACGAAUGGCGUAACGAUGGCCACACUGUCUCCUCCAGAGACUCAGCGAAGUUGAAAUGUUUGUGAUGAUGCAAUCUCCCCGCGGAAAGACGGAAAGACCCCAUGAACCUUUACUGUAGCUUUGUAUUGGACUUUGAACAGAUCUGUGUAGGAUAGGUGGGAGGCUUUGAAGCGGUGCCGCUAGGUAUCGUGGAGCCAACGUUGAAAUACCACCCUGGUGUGUUUGAGGUUCUAACCUAGGUCCAUUAUCUGGAUCGGGGACAGUGCAUGGUAGGCAGUUUGACUGGGGCGGUCUCCUCCCAAAGAGUAACGGAGGAGCACGAAGGUUGGCUAAUCCUGGUCGGACAUCAGGAGGUUAGUGCAAUGGCAUAAGCCAGCUUAACUGCGAGACGGACAGGUCGAGCAGGUACGAAAGUAGGUCAUAGUGAUCCGGUGGUUCUGAAUGGAAGGGCCAUCGCUCAACGGAUAAAAGGUACUCCGGGGAUAACAGGCUGAUACCGCCCAAGAGUUCAUAUCGACGGCGGUGUUUGGCACCUCGAUGUCGGCUCAUCACAUCCUGGGGCUGAAGUCGGUCCCAAGGGUAUGGCUGUUCGCCAUUUAAAGUGGUACGCGAGCUGGGUUCAGAACGUCGUGAGACAGUUCGGUCCCUAUCUGCCGUGGGCGUUGGAUGAUUGAAGGGAGUUGCUCCUAGUACGAGAGGACCGGAGUGAACGAACCUCUGGUGUUCGGGUUGUCACGCCAGUGGCACUGCCCGGUAGCUAAGUUCGGAAUCGAUAACCGCUGAAAGCAUCUAAGCGGGAAGCGAGCCCUGAGAUGAGUCAUCCCUGACCCCUUGA